This 328-nucleotide ribosomal RNA is filed under the name uncultured eukaryote. RNAcentral describes it as "partial 18S ribosomal RNA". It matches the Rfam family "Eukaryotic small subunit ribosomal RNA", at positions 1470 to 1796 of the family's 1831-position model. The record is from RNAcentral.
CCCUUAGAUGUCCUGGGCCGCACGCGCGUUACACUGAUGCAUUCAACGAGCUUAUAACCUUGGCCGAGAGGCCUGGGCAAUCUUGUUAACGUGCAUCGUGAUAGGGAUAGAUUAUUGAAAUUAUUAAUCUUGAACGAGGAAUUCCUGGUAAACGCAGAUCAUCAAUCUGCAUUGAUUACGUCCCUGCCCUUUGUACACACCGCCCGUCGCGCCUACCGAUUGGAUGGUCCGGUGAAGCCUCGGGAUUGUGGUUCUUGCCGCUUUAUUGUGGCGUGACCGCGAGAACUUGUCUAAACCUUAUCAUCUAGAGGAAGGUGAAGUCGUAACA